Peromyscus eremicus (cactus mouse) is the source of this 702-nucleotide long non-coding RNA. RefSeq lists it as uncharacterized. The transcript is spliced from 3 exons. The record is from RefSeq and is a predicted model, not a curated record. Lineage: Eukaryota; Metazoa; Chordata; Mammalia; Rodentia; Cricetidae.
GCCCCAGAGAGUUAAGUUUAGCCCCCCUCGCUGGCCCAGAGAAUUGUUUUACUCUCUCGGACAGAAAAGUCAAGUUGAGUAACAGUCGGCCGACUCCGCUGGGCCCCCUUGAACUCUGAGCUGCUGGAGGAUGGUCCUCAUGGCAGCAGUAGCCCACCCCCAGUGACAUGCUUCCUCCAACAAGGCCGGACCUACUCCAACAAGGCAGCACCUCCUAAUGGCCACUCCCUGAUGACGAAGCGUUCCAAUCCAUGAGCCUACGCGGCCAUUCUUACCCAAACCGCCACGAUUCUACAUCAUUCGUGUGGUCCACAGUCCUCCUGAAGUCAUCAGCUAAGAUGUCGUUAGCCCUCCUUGCCACUUGAUAAGUAGACUGUGACUACGAGUGAGGCUCCAACAGUGAAAAGUGAAAAGAGAUAAAGAGUGCUGAGGGCAGUACAUGAACUCCUGGAUUCAGACAUAACUGAAGCCACUUGUACCUGCAUGAGAUAAAAACAACACAACCCAUCUGAAUUAUGUUCUAGUGGGCUUCUUUCCAGUGCAGUCUCAAGGAAUUCCCUAUAUUUGGAAGGCAGGAAAACUUCCCAGCCAAGUCCAAGAAGAGUGUCUGAGCCUCAGGCUUCAUGCCUGGAGCAGAUCACCAUGCCUCCUGGCCCAGGAUCCUGUGCUUUUCUUUAACUAGAAUAAACAGUGUCCAGGGUU